RNAcentral lists this long non-coding RNA (1824 nucleotides) under Gopherus agassizii (Agassiz's desert tortoise). RNAcentral describes it as "lncRNA (ENSGAGG00000009720.1)". Lineage: Eukaryota; Metazoa; Chordata; Testudines; Testudinidae. The record is from RNAcentral.
CGCCCUUCGGGGUGACCCCGGCUCCCGAGCGCCCCGGCUGGGGGGAGACGGGGCCGCCGUGAUCCGGAGCGCCAGGACCCGCUGUUCUGCAGCUCUGGGCAGAGGUUACCAGUGAGAUGGUGAAGGUGCCGGGAUGUCCCAGGCUGCACCGGCCCUCGGGUUACCUCUCCACGGCUCUGUUCUUCGCGGCGCUCUACGGCUCUGCUGCUGUCCUCAGGAGCAAAGAUUGCCAGUUCCCGGACCCCUCCGAUCACACUACCUACAGGUGCAUGUCCCCGGUGUGCAAGCUGUCUCUGGGCAGCGGCGUGUUUAAGGCUGGCUCCAUGGUGCAGCAUUUCUGCGAAGCCGGCUACGUCCUGGCCGGCCACCCUGGGGUCUCUGUCUGCAAGGGCGGCCAGUGGAGCGUGCUGAAGCCGGUCGUCUGCAAGCCCCUGGCAGGUGGUACGAGCCCAUGGAGGAGUCCGAGGAGAGCACAGUCGACAGCUGCCCGGUGCCGCUCCCAUCCUACGAGGAGGCCGUCUAUGGUUCCCAGGGGGGGCCCGUGCCGCCCGCGCCCCCCAUGCCGACACCUCUCGUCCUCUCCAGGGGCCUGGCCCCCCCAUCGGAAGCAGCUGAGCCCUGUUGGAAUCCAGAGGCCGCCACUCCGCCCCCUUCCUACCAGGAGAGCCAAGCAGCAGCUGCGGGCGGCUCCGGCCUGGCCCGGCCCACAGUGCCCCCUACCCGGUUCCUAUUCCCUGGGGCUGCAAAGGACCUGUACAGGUAGCCGGGGGGGCCGGGGGUCCCCUGGCAGGGUCUCGACACUACAGCAGGGACUCCUCAUUUGAAGCACACGCAGCCUGCUCCAUCUUUUAACUUGCUGGGGGGAGAGGACACCCUGCCCCCCCCCAGUUACUCAGCAACUUGUGAAGCUGAUGGGACCAAAGCAGCCCCCUUCGGAGGGGCAUCAGCAGCCUUCUGCCUGGAUGGGGACCCCUCCCCCCCGCAAGGUAACGGCUCUGUCUUCGGGGCAGCCCCGAGGGGCCGAUCUUUGCCAGCUGGCUGGUUAGCCGCCAGCUCAGCGUGUUCUGACCACCCUGCACUGCCAUCCCUGUGGGAUCCCAAUUUUCCCUGCCCCCUACUCCUCCCACCAGGGUGUCAGUUCCCAGCAGAGCCGUCACGGGUUAACUCAGGGUACAGCUGCCACCUUCCUCCAGCUGUGAGGAUCUGGGGGCGGUGAGGGGCAGAUUUCUCCCUCCCCCCCCGACUUCCUAAUGCUCUGGCGAACAUCCCCUGGGCUUGUUCCAUUUUUGGGGGGCUUCUCUCCCCUUGUGUGUGUUGAUUAAAAUGACCCAGGCUGCUUUAUCUCUGGGCCAUACUGAUGCCCCCCCAGGCUGCAGGUGCUGCUCUGUGGCACUGGGGCUGGCUGGCAGGGGCCGUUGCACCUGCAUCCCAGCAGGGGGUGCCGUGGGUGUGGUUUAAAUAGCUGCACCCCGCCUCCCUAGCGCUCCCGUGGGUGGGUGGCUCUUGUCUCCUUCCCACUCCCAUCACCCAGACUCCCUGGCUUGGCUACAGGGGGUGAGCUGGCACCCCUGGCAGGGGGAGCAGAGUGCAGGGGAAAGUGGGUGCAGGUUUGAAUCCCGGCUGGCCCCCGGGCCCAUCCCGCACAACAACCAUUGCGUCUGCGGGCGGGUGCUGGGCAGGGGCGAAUCUUGGGCUAUUCCUCAACAGUUGAGCCCGUGUGGCCGGAAGUGGCCAGUGGCCCAGGGGCCAGGUAGCCCCACGAAGCUCCUGUUGACGCCGGGUCAGGUGCUCGGGCUGGCCUGCCUACACACGGGCACACAUACG